UACGUAGGGUGCAAGCGUUGUCCGGAAUUAUUGGGCGUAAAGAGCUCGUAGGCGGUUUGUCGCGUCUGCUGUGAAAACUCGGGGCUUAACCCCGGGCCUGCAGUGGGUACGGGCAGACUAGAGUGCGGUAGGGGAGACUGGAAUUCCUGGUGUAGCGGUGAAAUGCGCAGAUAUCAGGAGGAACACCGAUUGCGAAGGCAGCUCGCUGGGACGUAACUGACGCUGAGACGCGAAAGCGUGGGGAGCAAACAGG
This 253-nucleotide ribosomal RNA is filed under the name uncultured bacterium. RNAcentral describes it as "partial 16S ribosomal RNA". It matches the Rfam family "Bacterial small subunit ribosomal RNA", at positions 524 to 776 of the family's 1533-position model. The record is from RNAcentral.